Molecule: ribosomal RNA, 253 nt
Filed under: uncultured bacterium
Lineage: Bacteria
Description: partial 16S ribosomal RNA
Rfam family: Bacterial small subunit ribosomal RNA
Source: RNAcentral
UACGUAGGGGGCAAGCGUUAUCCGGAUUUACUGGGUGUAAAGGGAGCGUAGACGGCGAUGCAAGUCUGAAGUGAAAGGCGGGGGCCCAACCCCCGGACUGCUUUGGAAACUGUAUAGCUGGAGUGCAGGAGAGGUAAGUGGAAUUCCUAGUGUAGCGGUGAAAUGCGUAGAUAUUAGGAGGAACACCAGUGGCGAAGGCGGCUUACUGGACUGUAACUGACGUUGAGGCUCGAAAGCGUGGGGAGCAAAUAGG